This 349-nucleotide ribosomal RNA is filed under the name Myurellopsis columellaris. RNAcentral's name for it is "partial 12S ribosomal RNA". Lineage: Eukaryota; Metazoa; Mollusca; Gastropoda; Neogastropoda; Terebridae. The record is from RNAcentral.
UUACCAGAGUACUAUGAAUGUUAAAAAUUUAAAACUCAAAGAACUUGGCGGUGUUUUAGACCACUUAGGGGAACCUGUCUCGUAAUCGAUAGUCCACGUUGUAUCUGACCUUUUUUUGUUUUCAGUUUGUAUACCGUUGUCGUCAGGUAACUUUUUAGAGAUUAGAAGUUAGCAAUAGAAAUGUGAUAAUUUAGUACGUCAAAUCAAGGUGCAGCUAAUAAGAAGGGGAGGAUGGGUUACAGUUAUGUGAUUUAUAAUACGGAAAAAUGCAUGAAAUAGCAUUAAUUUAAGGCGGACUUGAAAGUAAAUUAGAUUAUAUGAAUAAUUUGAAUGAGGCUCUGAAACGUGU